CAUCGGAGGGUCUUGCCAGAGCAACCCCAACUCCGAUUUAGGCUUCUUUUGCAGAUCCCGGUGGCGACCGCGACUCCCUCGACUCCAGCUUUUUUGAUGCAGGUGGAUUUUUGCACCAACAGGAUUGGCGCUAGAGGAAGGGCUUUGAACCUCUACAGUACCUUUGUUCUUAAAGGAGUGCUCAACGGGAACACCUCCGGUCAUCUUUUUCGACAUCCUCUCCUCCUUUCCUCACUAGGUCUUCGCCCGAUGCCUCCUCGCAAAGCAUCCACAUGGCGAUCCAUGGCCUCCGCGGCCAGAUCUCAGGCUCCGGUCUCACCUCCAGUUUCUCAGCCUCCUCCCCCUCCUCCGACAAUGGUGGUUGGCGCAGAGCAAUUCGACCUACUGGUGCAGCAAGUCAGAGGCCUCACUGAAGCUGUGCAGGCCAUACAACAGCAGCAGCAGCUGCAGGCA
This 453-nucleotide long non-coding RNA is filed under the name Elaeis guineensis (African oil palm). Its description in RNAcentral is "long non-coding RNA (EGUI_LNC082016)". Lineage: Eukaryota; Viridiplantae; Streptophyta; Magnoliopsida; Arecales; Arecaceae. The record is from RNAcentral.